This 1345-nucleotide long non-coding RNA is filed under the name Calidris pugnax (ruff). RNAcentral describes it as "lncRNA (ENSCPUG00000012902.1)". Lineage: Eukaryota; Metazoa; Chordata; Aves; Charadriiformes; Scolopacidae. The record is from RNAcentral.
AUGGCUCAACUGGAGCAUGGUGAUGGUGCCAGGUGGUGCCGGAUGGUGCCAAUGUUGGUUGAUGCCAGUGCCAGGAGGUUUCGGUGCCAGUCCUGGUGCCAGGAGGUUCAGUGGACCACAAUGAUGGUGCCAGAUGGUGCCAGAUGGUGCCAAUGCCCGGUGUGCCAGUGCAAGAAGGCUUGGUUGCUGGUGCCAGGUGGUGCCAAGGCUGGUUGGUGCUGGUGCCAGGAGGUUUUGGUGCAAGUCCUGAUGCCACGAAGCCUGGUUAAGCGCGGUGGUGGUGCCCGAUGGUGCCAGAUGGUGCCAGAUGGUGCCAGUGCCAGGAGGUUUUGGUGCCAGUCCUGGUGCCAGGAAGCUCGGUGGACCACGGUGGUGGUGCUUGAUUGUUCCAGAUGGUGCCAGUGCCCGAUGGUGCUAGUACAAGGAGGCUCGGUUGCUGGUGCCAGGCGGUGCCAAGGCUGGUUGGUGAUGGUGCCAGGAGGUUUUGGUGCCAGUCCUGGUGCCAAGAGUCUUGGUUGAGCACGGUGAUGGUGCCAGGUGUUGGUGGAUGGUGCCAGUGCUGGUUGGUGCUGGUGCCAGGGGGUUUUGGUGCCAGUCCUGGUGCCAUGAAGCUCAGUGGAGCACAGUGAUGGUGCCUGAUGGUGCCAGAUGGUGCCAGUGCCAGUUAGUACCAGUGCCAGGGGGCUCGGUUGAGCACGGUGCUGGUGCCAGGUGGUGCCAAGGCUGGUUAGUGGUGGUACCAGGAGGUUUUGGUGCCAGUCCUGGUGCCAUGAAGCCUGGUUAAGCACAGUGCUGGUGUCUGAUGGUGCCAGUGCCAGUUGGUGCUGGUGCCAAGUGUCUUGGUUGAGCAUGGUGCUGGUGCCUGAUGGUGCCAGAUGGUGCCAGUGCCAGAGGGUACCAAUGCCAUGAAGCUUGGUCGAGCACAGUGAUGGUGCCAGAUGGUGCCAAUGCUGGUUGAUGCCAGUGCCAGGAGGUUUUGGUGCCAGUCCUGGUGCCAUGAAGCCUGGUUAAGCGCGGUGGUGGUGCCAGAUGGUGCCAGGUGGUGCCAGUGCUGGUUGGUGCCAGUGCCAUGAAGCUUGGUUAAGCACAGUGCUGGUGCCAGAUGGUGCCAGAUGGUGCCAGUGCUGGCUGGUGCCAGUGCCAGGAGGUUUUGGUGCCAGUCCUGGUGCCACGAAGCCUGGUUAAGCGCGGUGGUGGUGCCUGAUGGUGCCGGAUGGUGCUGGCACCAGGAAGUUUUGAUGCCAGUCCUGGUGCCAGGACCAUGAUGGUGGUGCCCGAUGGUGCCAGAUGGUGCCAGUGCCAAAUUUUGGGGUCGAGGGGGGGGUUUCCGGGGGGGUUGGCAGUG